AGAUCGCUCUGCUGAUGAACCGACCCCGUGCCGCCACCGUCGUGGCCCGUGGGCCGCUCAAAUGCGUCAAGCUGGACAGGCCGCAUUUCGAGCGUGUCUUGGGCCCGUGUUCAGACAUCCUCAAACGCAACAUCCAACAGUACAACAGCUUCGUGUCGCUCUCCGUCUGAGAGCCCCACCCUGAAAACCUUUCCCGCAGGGCCCAGCUCAUGUUCAGAGACUCAUUACCGCUUCGUUAAGUCCAGAGCUUUAACGGCUGCUUUCAUCGCCGGACACUUGGAGCCGAAUGAAAGGACAGACAAUCAAACGUUGAUUUCCAUCCUCAUGGCAGCGCCGCUUGUGUUUUCUAUCAGUGAAUGGAGAGCGACUGAUGAAUGAACAGAUGAGUAGAGCUGUUAAUGCUCUCGUAUGAGCUGCUCUAUAUUGUGGACCACUGAUGAUGUUCGAUUUGUCAAUGUUACCCAGAAAAAAAUUAUAAUUUUGGUAUAGAUCGUCCAAAUGGCAGUUUAAGCAAUAAAAAGGUUGUUAUUGAACCAUCAAA
Sinocyclocheilus grahami is the source of this 541-nucleotide long non-coding RNA. RefSeq lists it as uncharacterized. NCBI's taxonomy places the organism in Eukaryota, Metazoa, Chordata, Actinopteri, Cypriniformes, Cyprinidae. The record is from RefSeq and is a predicted model, not a curated record. The transcript has 2 exons.